AGUGAACGCUGGCGGUAGGCCUAACACAUGCAAGUCGAACGGCAGCACAGUAAGAGCUUGCUCUUACGGGUGGCGAGUGGCGGACGGGUGAGGAAUACAUCGGCAUCUACUUUUUCGUGGGGGAUAACGUAGGGAAACUUACGCUAAUACCGCAUACGACCUACGGGUGAAAGCAGGGGAUCUUCGGACCUUGCGCGAUUGAAUGAGCCGAUGUCGGAUUAGAUAGUUGGCGGGGUAAAGGCCCACCAAGGCGACGAUCCGUAGCUGGUCUGAGAGGAUGAUCAGCCAAACUGGAACUGAGACACGGUCCAGACUCCUACGGGAGGCAGCAGUGGGGAAUAUUGGACAAUGGGCGCAAGCCUGAUCCAGCCAUACCGCGUGGGUGAAGAAGGCCUUCGGGUUGUAAAGCCCUUUUGUUGGGAAAGAAAAGCAGCAGGUUAAUACCCCGCUGUUCUGACGGUACCCAAAGAAUAAGCACCGGCUAACUUCGUG
Molecule: ribosomal RNA, 492 nt
Filed under: uncultured bacterium
Lineage: Bacteria
Description: partial 16S ribosomal RNA
Rfam family: Bacterial small subunit ribosomal RNA
Source: RNAcentral